RNAcentral lists this ribosomal RNA (238 nucleotides) under uncultured bacterium. Its description in RNAcentral is "partial 16S ribosomal RNA". It matches the Rfam family "Bacterial small subunit ribosomal RNA", at positions 96 to 334 of the family's 1533-position model. The record is from RNAcentral.
UGGCGGACGGGUGAGUAACGCGUGGGUAACCUGCCUCAUACAGGGGGAUAACAGUUAGAAAUGACUGCUAAUACCGCAUAAGACCACAGCACCGCAUGGUGCAGGGGUAAAAACUCCGGUGGUAUGAGAUAGACCCGCGUCUGAUUAGGUAGUUGGUGGGGUAACGGCCUACCAAGCCGACGAUCAGUAGCCGACCUGAGAGGGUGACCGGCCACAUUGGGACUGAGACACGGCCCAA